UUAAGCAAGCUCAAUUAAGUUUUAUUGAAGUUAUAAAAGAAAUACAAAGAAAUCCUAAAGAAAUAUAAAAGAAUAUUAAAAAAAACUUAGUUUAAUCCUAACAAAAAUCUAAUAGAAUCUUAAAUUCUAAUCAAAUCCUAAUCUUAAUCCAAUCUUAAUCAAAUCCUAGAUAAAUCCUUAAUCCUAAACCAAAUCGUAAUCAAACCUUAAUCAAAUCCUAAACCUUAAAUCAAUUUCUAACCAAAUCCUAAAUCGAACCCUAAAUCCUAAAUCUUAAAUCAAAUCCUAAACUAAAUACUAAAUCCUAAAUCCUAAACCAAAUCCUCAACCAUACCCUAAUC
Molecule: long non-coding RNA, 341 nt
Filed under: Physcomitrium patens
Lineage: Eukaryota; Viridiplantae; Streptophyta; Bryopsida; Funariales; Funariaceae
Description: long non-coding RNA (PPAT_LNC011807)
Source: RNAcentral